UACGUAGGUGGCGAGCGUUGUCCGGAUUUACUGGGCGUAAAGGGAGCGUAGGCGGACUUUUAAGUGAGAUGUGAAAUACCCGGGCUCAACUUGGGUGCUGCAUUUCAAACUGGAAGUCUAGAGUGCAGGAGAGGAGAAUGGAAUUCCUAGUGUAGCGGUGAAAUGCGUAGAGAUUAGGAAGUACACCAGUGGCGAAGGCGAUUCUCUGGACUGUAACUGACGCUGAGGCUCGAAAGCGUGGGGAGCAAACAGGAUUAGAUACCCCGGUAGU
RNAcentral lists this ribosomal RNA (271 nucleotides) under uncultured prokaryote. RNAcentral's name for it is "partial 16S ribosomal RNA". It matches the Rfam family "Bacterial small subunit ribosomal RNA", at positions 524 to 794 of the family's 1533-position model. The record is from RNAcentral.